GCUUAGGUAAUUUUAAGUUUGCUCAUUUUUCUUCCUGAUCCUUCAAAGAUGGCCUAGCUGGCUUCGACAUUUCAAGUUGGAUGCUGCUUAUAAUAAACUCACUACCAAACGACCUUGUGGACCUAGCAAGACAUCGAUUCGUGGAGCAAAGUAUGAUCUGGCAAAGAACGAUCCCUCGAAAGAGCCAUUUGAGAGUCUUCCUGAUUAUGCAUUCGAUGACAUUGCUGAUUGGGAAAGAAAACUCAUCCAAAAUUGCGUUCAAGAACUCCUCCAAAGUUACAAGAAAUGGUAUUCUAACCUUAAUACUUCUUUGAUUUGAUACAAUCUUUCUUCCUCCAUCAAGACUGCUUUUUAGUUCUAUUUUUGAAAGCUAUGUGUUCAAUUGUGUCAUGUUUUUUUGAUAUAAUUUAUCUUCUGUAAAAGCUAUCAGUGAUUGCUGUUGACUCUUAUGAGUUAUUGUUUGAUUGGAGGUUUAAAUCUGCCUGAAUAAUUUUCUGUGAAAUAUAGUGACAGCUCGACAUAAACAGGCAGUGCAUCUUGGAGUUUCUGCAUUUCAAAUAUUUUUUGAAAGAUUUACAUGCAUACUGCUCAACUCUUAUGUAAUUACAUAUCUAACACCUAAUGAUACUGGAGCUAGUUAGGAAAUCAGCGGAAAUGCUAAGCAACUGUUAUUAGCAUUGAAUUAGGGUUACAACACGACACAAACAGAAAAGGAAAUUACAAUAACAAACCUCUCUCCGGCUAGGACUGGAAGAGAAGAUCUCAGGACGGUGGUUGCGUCGGUCAAGCGGCAAGUUGUAAGGGGAAGGUUGAGGGCUGUCGUGUCUGCUGGAAUAGUGGCUGGUGGCUGGUUUGGGGAUUGGGAGAAUGGUGCAGUAGGGAAAAGUGCAGGGAAGGGUGAAUGAUGGGGGAAUGAGCCGGACAGCAAGGAGAACUGCUGUAGGUGGCUGGCAGGAUGCAGGUGGGUGGACGGGAAGGCUGGACAACAAGACCAGCAGCAGGGGGAAUAGGAAACGGCGGCUGGAAGAUGGUAGGGAGGGCUGGACAGAAGGCUACGACUACGAGGAGGUGGCGACAGAGGGGCUGGAAGAUGUGUGUAGGCCGGUGGUUAAGGGAAAAAGGGAGGAGAAGAAUUGGGGAAGAGGACAGAGGAAGAUACAGCACAACCUCGGAGUAGGAUACACCACCCGUUGUGAAUUACAGCUCUAGCAGGGAGAGAACACUCCAAGAGGAAUUCUGAAACAAACACAAGCAAAAACUAACCAUAAUUCCAGAUAACAACACUUAAAAGACUUUAAUAGGGAAAUAAUAGAGAAGGUAGGUUCCCAUAGGGAAAUAAUAGAAAAGGAAAGGAAUAGAGGGGUGUUGAGAAAAUUAGG
Phalaenopsis equestris is the source of this 1379-nucleotide RNA transcript. It is a transcript of the gene named phosphoglucan phosphatase LSF2, chloroplastic-like, with no coding region annotated. The transcript has 2 exons. Lineage: Eukaryota; Viridiplantae; Streptophyta; Magnoliopsida; Asparagales; Orchidaceae. The record is from RefSeq and is a predicted model, not a curated record.